AUUUGAGAAAGAUGGAGAACUUUGUAUGGAGGCUAUCUGUGCUCUAUACAGGCAACAAACCUCUGCCAGAAAAUCAAUUUAUGGCACUUCAACUUCUCAAAAUCGAGGUUUUAACAAGUUAGCUGCAACCAGUUGCAUUGGAGAUGUUUCUAUCGAGUUUCAUGUACAAAAGGUGCUGUUUGAUUCGCUGCAAGCCAUGAUCCAGCGUUGCAGAAACUCUUGGUUCUUGGAGAUAAGUUUUGAUGGCUUAAUGUGGUGACAAGGGUGGAAACUAUGUAGGUGUUCAGCAUUAUGACGUUGUAGCCAAGUGGCCCAGUUUGGAAAAUCUUGUCCUCAUUGCGGAAAUCUUUAAGUAAUAGUUCUCACUUGGGUUUCCAAAUUGGAUCCUCUCAUCUAGCCAAAGAAUAGAUUUCAAUCAUUCAAAGAUCUUUUACUGUCAAAUGUCCUUCAAUGCCAUCCUGAACAUGUGAUGUAUGUAGAUCUUGUCUUCUGGAGAAACUGUGUGCAAGGCAAGCAAAAUAACCUCUGGGCCAUGCGGAAAUGGGUGAAAAGAUGCAUCCAGAAGGAGGAACAGAGGAGGAAGGUUCAUGUGCUCAUGCCUUUCUAUUUUUGUCUUAGAGGUUCUCAAGUGCCAUUCAUACCUCAUGCUGGGAAUAACUGAAACAUCGCUGUUGAUUAUCUUGUUUCUACAUUCUAAUAGGCCUUCUUUGGGAAAUUCUGGCUCAUGCAUUGAUAGUUGCAAGUAGAAUGCCAGUUUUUGCCUUGAAUAAAGACUGCUCACUACAUCUUUUCCCUAUAAAUUCAGUUUGCGACCACAAUAAACUGAAUGAGUUUAUAUAUGCAUGCUUAGUUUUAGAGAACGAACUACGUCUUUCAUUGGCUGUACUCAUUGAUGGUGAUAUACUUUUCUCCAGGGGUACUACUUUGGCCGAGUUUCUCAUUGAUGGUGAUCCG
This 954-nucleotide unclassified non-coding RNA is filed under the name Hevea brasiliensis (rubber tree). The record is from RNAcentral. Lineage: Eukaryota; Viridiplantae; Streptophyta; Magnoliopsida; Malpighiales; Euphorbiaceae.